Molecule: long non-coding RNA, 542 nt
Organism: Amyelois transitella
Lineage: Eukaryota; Metazoa; Arthropoda; Insecta; Lepidoptera; Pyralidae
Exons: 2
Source: RefSeq, a predicted model, not a curated record
CGAUGUUAUAUUUUGUGCCAGUCUCCACAAAAUUCUCCCAAAUUUUGGGGAUUUUAUUCUCCUCUGCUGCCAGCAACACUACUGGCCAUUCAGUUCGGAACCCCCGCAUUAGAAGGUAUAUAAACAAUGUUCGUGUGCCGCUACUGAUAUAUUAUUCCCAGCGGUACUCUCUAAAAGACACGUAACUCCAUGAACAUAUUUUUUGUGCUAUUUUGGUAAACUCAGUAAACAAAUAAUACAAUGAAUUUUAUAUCUAACCUCCUGGAUUCGACUCCUGUAGUAAGAGCUGCGAAGGCAGCAAUUCACUACACCGUCGGGGACAUUGAAGGAGGGAACAAGGCGAUCGCCAAGUCCACCGAAUUAGUCCCUGGCGUGCGCCACGGCGGCGGGGCCCCCGGCGGCUGCUUCCCGGGCGCGGGCAACCCGACAGGAACUGGAAGCUCCGGAACUAUGGUGUUGGCAAUUAAAAAGUAAAAUGGAACUUUGUUGGAGUGCCUAAGUUUUACCUAUUUUAUUGAGAAAAAUAAAUGAAUUGGGUCUAA